GACGGAGGGUGCAAGCGUUGUUCGGAAUCAUUGGGCGUAAAGAGAGUGUAGGCGGCUUUUCAAGUCGGGUGUGAAAGCCCAGGGCUCAACCCUGGAACUGCGCUCGAUACUGUUGAGCUUGAAUAUGACAGAGGGUUGCGGAAUUGUCGGUGUAGAGGUGAAAUUCGUAGAUAUCGGCAAGAACACCAGCGGCGAAGGCGGCAACCUGGAUCAAUAUUGACGCUGAGACUCGAAAGCGUGGGGAGCAAACAGG
RNAcentral lists this ribosomal RNA (253 nucleotides) under uncultured bacterium. RNAcentral's name for it is "partial 16S ribosomal RNA". It matches the Rfam family "Bacterial small subunit ribosomal RNA", at positions 524 to 776 of the family's 1533-position model. The record is from RNAcentral.